UUCCCCACUUUGAAGAUCAUCUGAGAGAAUAGUUAUCAUUUUCGCUGCAGUCCUUUUAUGCAACAUGGAGUUUUGCUGACAAUGUUCAUGUGUGGAUGCAGAGCUGAUAAAUGUUGGGCGGAAGCAAGGUGCUCUGCAAGAACUACACGAUCUUAUUACCUCGAAGAGAUCGCAAGCAUGGCAAAAUACCCUUGAGAGGAUUAUGUUUAAGUACAUUGAGCUAUGUGUUGAUAUGCGGAGGGGGAGAUUUGCCAAGGAUGAUCUGAUU
Rhodamnia argentea is the source of this 268-nucleotide long non-coding RNA. RefSeq lists it as uncharacterized. NCBI's taxonomy places the organism in Eukaryota, Viridiplantae, Streptophyta, Magnoliopsida, Myrtales, Myrtaceae. The transcript is spliced from 4 exons. The record is from RefSeq and is a predicted model, not a curated record.